Sorex araneus (European shrew) is the source of this 622-nucleotide non-coding RNA. The record is from the annotation of a RefSeq genome assembly. NCBI's taxonomy places the organism in Eukaryota, Metazoa, Chordata, Mammalia, Eulipotyphla, Soricidae.
CCAGGGCAGAGCUCUGAGAGGCUCCAUCAUGCCCCGCAACCCCGUCCUGCUCCUCCUGCUCACGCUCUGCACAGGCUACGUGAUCCCCUUCGAGCUGAUCCAGAGACCCUCAGUCUCAGUAGUUCCGGGUCAGGCAGCCACAAUCACCUGCUCUGGAGAAUUACUUAACGAGAGAUAUACAGAGUGGUACCAACAGAAGCCCGGCCAGCGCCCUGUGCUCAUUAUUUAUAAGGACAGUGAGAGGCCCUCGGGGAUCCCUGACCGAUUUUCUGGCUCAAGCUCCGGGACCACAACCACCCUGACCAUCAGCAACACCCAGGCUGAGGAUGAGGCUGACUAUUACUGUUUGUCCUCAGACAGCAGUGGUAUUAACCCACAGUGUCACAGGAGAUUCACAGGUGAUGAAGGUGGAGGAUUUAGUUCACUGAAAGAUCUUGAACCUACAAGAGAAAAAAGGAGAGGCUACUUGACCUCCUACAAGCUGACCCAGACACUCUCAGCCUCAGUAGAUCAGGCCACCCUGACCAUCAGCAGGACCCAGGAUGAGGAUAAGGCUGUUUCUGUCAGUCAUGGGACAGUAGCAGUAAUUACCCGCCUAGUGUCACAGGAGGCGGGGAAGUAA